GUGAACUGCGAAGGAUCAUU
RNAcentral lists this ribosomal RNA (20 nucleotides) under Cirsium lineare. RNAcentral describes it as "partial 18S ribosomal RNA". Lineage: Eukaryota; Viridiplantae; Streptophyta; Magnoliopsida; Asterales; Asteraceae. The record is from RNAcentral.